Molecule: ribosomal RNA, 1228 nt
Filed under: Struthiolipeurus struthionis
Lineage: Eukaryota; Metazoa; Arthropoda; Insecta; Psocodea; Philopteridae
Description: bacterial SSU rRNA
Rfam family: Eukaryotic small subunit ribosomal RNA
Source: RNAcentral
AAAGAUUAAGCCAUGCAUGUCUCAGUGCAAGCCAAAUUAAGGUGAAACCGCGAAAGGCUCAUUAAAUCAGCUGUGGUUCCUUAGAUGGUACGUACGGUUACUUGGAUAACUGUGGCAAUUCUAGAGCUAAUACAUGCAAACAGAGUUCCGACCGCUCGUCGUCCGGAAGGAAUGCUUUUAUUAGAUUAAAACCAAUCGGACUCUCCGCGGGCCGUCACGCCUUGGUGACUCUGAAUAACUUCGAGCUGAUCGCACGGUCCUGCACCGGCGACGCAUCUUUCAAAUGUCUGACUUAUCACUUUCGAUGGUAGGCUCUGCGCCUACCAUGGUCGUAACGGGUAACGGGGAAUCAGGGUUCGAUUCCGGAGAGGGAGCCUGAGAAACGGCUACCACAUCCAAGGAAGGCAGCAGGCGCGCAAAUUACCCACUCCCGGCACGGGGAGGUAGUGACGAAAAAUAACGAUGCAGAACUCUUUCCGAGGCUCUGCAAUCGGAAUGAGUACACCCUAAAUCAUUUAACGAGUAUCCAUUGGAGGGCAAGUCUGGUGCCGAAACUUAAAGGAAUUGACGGAAGGGCACCACCAGGAGUGGAGCUUGCGGCUUAAUUUGACUCAACACGGGAAACCUCACCAGGCCCGGACACUGGAAGGAUUGACAGAUUGACAGCUCUUUCUUGAUUCAGUGGGUGGUGGUGCAUGGCCGUUCUUAGUUGGUGGAGCGAUUUGUCUGGUUAAUUCCGAUAACGAACGAGACUCUAGCCUGUUAACUAGGCGAACGCAAUUAUCAUCCGGCAUCGAAAACGAAAAAAAAAGCUGUCGGCGUCGUGACUUCUUAGAGGGACGGGCGGCUUCUAGCCGCACGAGAUUGAGCAAUAACAGGUCUGUGAUGCCCUUAGAUGUUCUGGGCCGCACGCGUGCUACACUGAAGGAAUCAACGUGUCAAGCCCCCUAGGCCGAAAGGUCCGGGAAACCCGUUGAACCUCCUUCGUGCUAGGGAUUGGGGAUUGCAAUUAUUCUCCAUGAACGAGGAAUUCCCAGUAAGCGCGAGUCAUAAGCUCGCGUUGAUUACGUCCCUGCCCUUUGUACACACCGCCCGUCGCUACUACCGAUUGAACGAUUUAGUGAGGUCUUCGGACCCGCGCGCGGGAGUCGCCGCCUAGCGGAGACUCCCGACGCGGCGGGAAAGACGACCGAACUUGAUCGUUUAGAGGAAGUAAAAGUCGUAACAA